RNAcentral lists this long non-coding RNA (283 nucleotides) under Vigna radiata. RNAcentral's name for it is "long non-coding RNA (VRAD_LNC005493)". Lineage: Eukaryota; Viridiplantae; Streptophyta; Magnoliopsida; Fabales; Fabaceae. The record is from RNAcentral.
UUCUUUAAAAGAUAAGUUUAUGUUUAACAAGUAUUUAAUCUCAUCAAGUAAAAAUUAUAACUGUAUGUUAUAAUUUGACAUUUUUUUAUUGAUGCAAGAUAUUGAACAUAUAUAAAUACUAUACUAGAUAUCCAUUGGUACUAAAAUAAAAGUAACGGCGAAUCUUUAAAUGUGGAAAAAAGAAAUUUUCCUGCCAUGAUUAUUGCAAGAAAAAAAAAUAAAAAAAAAUACAAAACAAACUCUGUAAGCUUAUAUUUUCGUAAAAUUCAGAAAUAGAAUGGUC